GCGGCGUGAGCGGGGCGUGGAUCAGGUGGGGGCCGUGGCCGCAAGGAAGGACAGUAGUGUGGCAGAACUAGGGAGGGGAGGACGUGCGCGCGAGCAACAGAGCAACAGUUUCCAGGCGCUGCUGCAGCCUGUAGCGCGUACUGUCUGCCAACUUUCAACCGUCUCACUUUCUGCUAAGUACUGUUGCUUGACCUCCGUGUGAUGAAGUGACCGUGGUGAUGAAAAAUGAAAGUACGAGCGUGAUUUGAUAAUAGGAGAACUAGUGUAAGUAGAAAUAAUAAUGAUGGGUGAGGUGGUGUAAGUACUCAGUGUUGGGAACUACUAUGAUGAAGCACCUGUCGGAUACACCUGUGCUGCGCCUCAGGUUGUGCACAAGACCCUCAAUGUUGUUGGCAUUGCCGUGCUGUGCUGUGCUGUGCUGUGCUGUGCAAGGCUCGGGGAUGUAUUAAUACUGGUGGUGAUGGCCACGACACACUGACACACACACACACACACACACACACACACACACACACACACACACACACACACUGAUAGCACCACACACAUACAAGGCUUAAGGGAGGAUAUAUCACGUAACACACCACACAUACACACGCACAAGAGUAAUACAUAUAUACACAUGCAGAUAUACCUUCCUAACAAUAUAAAAUAAACAGUGAGCGUGAGAAAACAGGAAGGUCUUAGGACUAAUCCUCGUUGGUGAUAAGAGAGAUGCACUGUAGAUCAUUGCUGUGGGCCUCACCGGAAGGGAGGGUGAGGUUAAUAGAUACGGAAGAGAUGGAUGGGGAAGAGAAGCUGAAAAAAAUAAUAGAAUAAAAAUGAAUUAGAGUUGGAUGGUAAACCGGAUCAAGUGCAAGGCAAAGGUGAACGGUAACGAUGAGGCCCGGGGGUACGAGAGAGAGAGAGAGAGAGAGAGAGAGAGAGAGAGAGAGAGAGAGAGAGAGAGAGAGAGAGAGAGAGAGAGAGAGAGAGAGAGAGAGAGACUCGCCUUUCUCUUUAACGCUGCUGUGACAAGGGAUGAGGAGGGAAACGAGUGCCCUGCAGUGAGGAGGGCAAGGCACAGGGACGGCAGGGACAGGGAGAGGGAGAGGUGCUUCAGGGAUGAGUGCUUGUGACUACUGAGGGAGAUAUGGACGGUAGCUGGGGAGAAGCAGAGAGAGCGAGAGUGAGGAGGAGGUCAGGGAAGAGCAAACAGGCAGGUGAGAACUUUGUGACGUCUCUUUCACUCAGCCAUACACUCACUCAGUUGUCGUAAGCUUGGAAACACAAGAACUGGUGUGGUGAAACAGAAAAGUUUAUGCCGCGGUUUGACAUUUCCCGCCCUGAACACUGAACACGCCGGGCAUUAGUAAGGGCGGCCAAAGGUGGGUGUGUGGUGUGUGGCAGCAGCAGUCAGUGACUAGUGCCGGCGGGUGGCGGCGGCGGCGGUGUUGGAGGUGGUGCCUUACAAGGCGUGCAGGAAAGCCAUGACGGCUUUGGUGGCAGCAUGCAGACGGGCGGCAACGGACGGUCUGCCAAGUCUACCUGGGCUGGGCGGACUAGCACCCUGGCUGCUGCUGGCGGCGUGGACACAAGCGGCCGUCGCAAGAGUCAACGUGAAAUGGAGCCUUGUGUCGCUGCCUGUGUGUCACGUCAUGGCUGGGAGUCACGUGAGGGGUUUAUGGUUGAAUCUCGAGGGAACACGGGCGGAAAUGGAGGGAGGUGAUAAAGGAUUCCCACCGUUGCCCUUUCGCCACUCCCAGCCGGCAUAACGAGAGUAACACAAGAGGCUAAGGACACCACACAAUGUACACCUGCAAGAAAGAUCGAAAGAAAUAAGAACACGACGAAAGAAAAGAGAGAGAGAGAGAGAGAGAGAGAGAGAGAGAGAGAGAGAGAGAGAGAGA
Molecule: long non-coding RNA, 1889 nt
Organism: Scylla paramamosain (green mud crab)
Lineage: Eukaryota; Metazoa; Arthropoda; Malacostraca; Decapoda; Portunidae
Exons: 5
Source: RefSeq, a predicted model, not a curated record